AUUGAACGCUGGCGGCAGGCCUAACACAUGCAAGUCGAGCGGAUGACGGGAGCUUGCUCCUUGAUUCAGCGGCGGACGGGUGAGUAAUGCCUAGGAAUCUGCCUGGUAGUGGGGGACAACGUUUCGAAAGGAACGCUAAUACCGCAUACGUCCUACGGGAGAAAGCAGGGGACCUUCGGGCCUUGCGCUAUCAGAUGAGCCUAGGUCGGAUUAGCUAGUUGGUGGGGUAAUGGCUCACCAAGGCGACGAUCCGUAACUGGUCUGAGAGGAUGAUCAGUCACACUGGAACUGAGACACGGUCCAGACUCCUACGGGAGGCAGCAGUGGGGAAUAUUGGACAAUGGGCGAAAGCCUGAUCCAGCCAUGCCGCGUGUGUGAAGAAGGUCUUCGGAUUGUAAAGCACUUUAAGUUGGGAGGAAGGGCAGUAAGUUAAUACCUUGCUGUUUUGACGUUACCGACAGAAUAAGCACCGGCUAACUCUGUGCCAGCAGCCGCGGUAAUACAGAGGGUGCAAGCGUUAAUCGGAAUUACUGGGCGUAAAGCGCGCGUAGGUGGUUUGUUAAGUUGGAUGUGAAAGCCCCGGGCUCAACCUGGGAACUGCAUCCAAAACUGGCAAGCUAGAGUACGGUAGAGGGUGGUGGAAUUUCCUGUGUAGCGGUGAAAUGCGUAGAUAUAGGAAGGAACACCAGUGGCGAAGGCGACCACCUGGACUGAUACUGACACUGAGGUG
This 730-nucleotide ribosomal RNA is filed under the name Pseudomonas sp. RNAcentral's name for it is "bacterial SSU rRNA". It matches the Rfam family "Bacterial small subunit ribosomal RNA", at positions 28 to 753 of the family's 1533-position model. The record is from RNAcentral. Lineage: Bacteria; Pseudomonadati; Pseudomonadota; Gammaproteobacteria; Pseudomonadales; Pseudomonadaceae.